UAAAUUCCCCGUAAAGGAUUCACCGCACUUAAUUUAAUUUAUUUAUCGAUGAGUAAUUCUAAUCGGCAUCGAAAUAUCUUUCGAUCAUAUAAACUCCAAAAUAUUAUAAACUUUGGCUAAAAAGCCUCCGAGCCAAAAUCCAAAAUACAAAAAAAUACAUAAAGUGUACUUUAAAAUUAUGGGUCUUACAUUACUACCCCCCAUAAAAUUAGUUUCGUCCUCGAAACUAUGCGUCAAUAAAUAGCUCUGGGUGUUGUUCUCUCAUCUUGCUCUCCAGUUCCCAAGUCGCAUAUCCAGUAAUUGGGUUCCAAAUUACCUUGACCAAUGAAACAUCCUUGGUCCUCAAUCGCUUAAUCUUCCGGUCAUCAAUUCUCACAGGUGGUACUUCGAAUGACAAGUUAUCCUUCAGUUGGAUUGUGUCUGGUUCGAUCACAUGAGAUGGAUUUGCAAGAUAUUUCCUCAAUUGUGACACAUGGAACACGUCAUGAAUAUUAGACAGUAUCGGAGGUAAUGCAAUCCGAUAAGCAACAUGCCCAAUUCGUGCAGAAAUCUGAUAUGGCCCAAUGAAUUUCGGAGUCAACUU
This 583-nucleotide long non-coding RNA is filed under the name Cicer arietinum (chickpea). Its description in RNAcentral is "long non-coding RNA (CARI_LNC003735)". The record is from RNAcentral. Lineage: Eukaryota; Viridiplantae; Streptophyta; Magnoliopsida; Fabales; Fabaceae.